UCUGUGGUACCGGACUUGCCAAAGGUUUCCAAAAAGCAUACUUUGACAGGUAUGGAGGUGGUGCCAACUUUGUACAUGAUGGCUACAACAAAGGCACAGCUUUAGGUGCUGAAAUCAUUGGUACCUUUGUUCUUGUCUACACUGUCUUCUCUGCCACUGAUCCUAAGAGGAACGCUAGGGACUCCCAUGUUCCUGUAAGCAUUUAAUUAUAAACUCAAUUCACACACACUCAUCACCUUUUUCUUCAUAAUAAGUACUUUAAGCAUAACUAACUAUGUGUUUGGUGAAAUGAUGAAAAGGUUUUGGCACCACUUCCCAUUGGAUUUGCUGUUUUCAUGGUUCACUUGGCUACUAUCCCCGUUACCGGCACCGGUAUUAACCCGGCAAGAAGUUUCGGAUCAGCCGUGAUCUACAACGACGGCAAAAUUUGGGAUGAUCAGGUAAACAUCCAUAUCAUUAAAUUAUUAAAGUGACACUGAUAACUAUUUUACAACCGUUUAUUUGAGGAGACUUUGAUUAGGUUUAAGUCUCUCCUUAUAUUAGCCAGACAAACUUUAUAUUUUUCAGUUUUUAGUUUUUUGUCCAUUAAUUAAACUUUUGUUUAGUGCUAAAACAAUUGUUUUCUUUAAUUUUACAAUAGUCUUGAAUUUAUUUUUAAAUAUGUUGAUAAUAAUAUUCUAAUAGAUAAUUAACUUUUGUUGAAUUGUUUUUGUGAUGAACAGUGGA
RNAcentral lists this long non-coding RNA (726 nucleotides) under Medicago truncatula (barrel medic). RNAcentral describes it as "long non-coding RNA (MTRU_LNC001880)". Lineage: Eukaryota; Viridiplantae; Streptophyta; Magnoliopsida; Fabales; Fabaceae. The record is from RNAcentral.